UAGACGAAUCAUCUGGAAAGAUGAAUCAAAGAAGGUAAUAAUCCUGUAGUCGAAAAUGUUGUCUCUCUUGAGUGGAUCCUGAGUACGACGGAGCACGUGAAAUUCCGUCGGAAUCUGGGAGGACCAUCUCCUAAGGCUAAAUACUCUCUAGUGACCGAUAGUGAACCAGUACCGUGAGGGAAAGGUGAAAAGCACCCCGGAAGGGGAGUGAAAUAGAACCUGAAACCGUGUGCUUACAAGUAGUCAGAGCCCGUUAAUGGGUGAUGGCGUGCCUUUUGUAGAAUGAACCGGCGAGUUACGAUUUGAUGCAAGGUUAAGCAGUAAAUGUGGAGCCGUAGCGAAAGCGAGUCUGAAUAGGGCGUUUAGUAUUUGGUCGUAGACCCGAAACCAGGUGAUCUACCCUUGGUCAGGUUGAAGUUCAGGUAACACUGAAUGGAGGACCGAACCGACUUACGUUGAAAAGUGAGCGGAUGAACUGAGGGUAGCGGAGAAAUUCCAAUCGAACCUGGAGAUAGCUGGUUCUCUCCGAAAUAGCUUUAGGGCUAGCCUCAAGUGAUGAUUAUUGGAGGUAGAGCACUGUUUGGACGAGGGGCCCCUCUCGGGUUACCGAAUUCAGACAAACUCCGAAUGCCAAUUAAUUUAACUUGGGAGUCAGAACAUGGGUGAUAAGGUCCGUGU
This 678-nucleotide ribosomal RNA is filed under the name Staphylococcus aureus. RNAcentral describes it as "partial 23S ribosomal RNA". It matches the Rfam family "Bacterial large subunit ribosomal RNA", at positions 330 to 1010 of the family's 2925-position model. Lineage: Bacteria; Bacillati; Bacillota; Bacilli; Caryophanales; Staphylococcaceae. The record is from RNAcentral.